ACCACCACCCACCACCACCACCACCAACAACUAAAACAAAAACAAGAAAAACAUCCGCAAAAACUCUUCGCCGCGGUUUUCUCUCUCUGUUCUGAACACCGAUUUUUCUUCAAAUUAAUGCUUUUUAAUAAUCUGAUCGUAAUAAAUUCUCGUCAGCGGACAGCGGCGGAGUCUACGGCGGAGGCGGAAUCGGACGGCGGAGGCGGCGGCCUCAAGGGCCUGAAGAAAGAAGUAGGAGGAGGAGAAGUAAACUUGUUGGUGUUUUUAGUGUUAUUUUUCAGUUCCGGUGAAGUGCCGGUGACCGGUAAGAUUUUGCUGCGGUGAUUAUAUUAUGAAGAAAGCCUCGAAUAGCAUCAAUAAUCAGAAUAAUAUCAAAGCUAUUAAUCAUCAUCAUGGCAAGAAUGGGACUUCGCCUCGGACCAAUGGAUUUGUACCGAAUUCGCUAAAGUUUAUUUCGUCUUGUAUCAAGACGGUGUCGUCUAAUGUGAAGUCUGCUGGUGUAUCCGUCGCUGGUUCUAUCGCCGGUGAUUCGUCAGACGAUCUCCACAAAGACCAGGUUUUAUGGGCUUCCUUUGACGGAAUAGAACUUGGUUCUUCUUUAAGACGUGUUCUUCUUAUUGGUUAUUCCAAUGGUUUUCAAGUUCUUGAUGUCAAUGAUGCAUCUCGUGUCACUGAAUUGGUCUCAAGGCGCGAUGAUCCAGUCACAUUUUUGCAGAUUCAACCUAUGCCUGCAAAGUCUGUUGAGCGUGAAGGAUACAGGGCCUCACAUCCGAUGCUGUUGGUUGUGGCAAGUGAUGAAGCAAGUUAUCCAGGUCCAGUUCAGAAUGGCAGAGAUGGAUUUGUUGAUCAUCAGUCAGCAAACAUUUUGGCGUCUCCUACAACUGUUCGGUUUUACUCCUUAAGGUCUCACAACUAUGUCCAAGUUUUAAGAUUUCGGUCAACUGUAUAUAUGGUUAGGUGCAGUCCGCAGAUAGUAGCUGUGGGUCUUGCAGCACAGAUAUAUUGCUUUGAUGCACUUACUCUAGAGAACAAGUUCAGCGUGCUAACAUAUCCAGUACCUCAAUUGGGAGGGCAGGGUACUAAUGGGGUAAACAUUGGCUACGGUCCAAUGGCUGUGGGCCCCAGGUGGUUAGCCUAUGCUUCUAAUAAUCCCUUGCUGUCAAAUACAGGACGCUUAAGUCCUCAAAGUCUAAGUCCUUCUCCUGGUGUGAGCCCUUCUACCUCACCUGGUAGUGGAAACCUGGUUGCUCGUUAUGCAAUGGAGUCGAGUAAACAGUUAGCAGUUGGAUUAAUCAAUUUGGGUGACAUGGGCUACAAAACUUUAUCAAAAUACUGUCAUGAGCUCCUUCCUGAUGGUUCGAGUUCGCCGGUGUCAUCUAAUUCUAACUGGAAAGGUGGAAGGGCUACAGCACAUUCAUCUGAGACAGAUGCUGCUGGGAUGGUUGUUAUAAAAGAUUUUGCUUCAAAAACAGUCAUAUCACAGUUCAGGGCACAUACAAGUCCAUUAUCUGCUCUCUGUUUUGAUCCAAGUGGAACUCUUCUUGUUACAGCCUCUAUACAUGGGAACAACAUAAACAUAUUCCGCAUUCUGCCUUCUAAAACACAGAAUGGGUUAGGCGCUGAUAACUAUGAUUGGAGUUCUUCUCACGUGCAUCUCUACAAACUUCAUCGUGGCAUGACUUCAGCUGUAAUACAAGACAUUUGUUUUAGUCACUAUAGUCAGUGGGUUGCUGUUGUAUCAUCACGGGGCACUUGCCAUAUUUUUGUUCUCUCACCAUUUGGUGGUGAGACUGGUCUUCGAUUACAAAGUUCUCAUAUUGAUGGUCCCACACUUUCUCCAGUUCUAUCGAUGCCUUGGUGGUCUACUUCAUCAUUCCUGAUAAACCAGCAGGCUUCCCCACCACCACCAGUACCUCUCACUCUCUCUGUAGUUUGCAGGAUAAAAAGCGGGAAUUGGCUGAAUACAGUAAGCAAUGCUGCAUCUUCUGCUGCAGGGAAGGUUUCUCCAACCUCUGGGGUUAUUGCUGCUGUGUUUCACAGUUUGCUACACCAAAAUAGCCAAUCUGUUUCCCCAAAUGGGAAGGCUCUAGAGCACCUGUUAGUUUACUCACCUUCUGGUCAUCUAGUUCAAUAUGAACUGAUGCCCUCUCUUGGGGGAGAACAGAGCGAGUCUUCUCUGAAAAAUGGGACAAGUUCAAUGGUGCAGAUGCAGGAGGAUGAUUUGGGAGUGAAAGUUGAACCUGUCCAGCGAUGGGAUGUUUGUCGAAGAGCAAAUUGGCCUGAAAAAGAGGAAUAUAUUCAGGGUAUUACACUUGGGGGACGGGAAGCUCCUGAGGCAUUCAUGGACACUGCUCAGCCGGAAGAUAACGAGAUUGGAGAAAAGGAUGCUGUGAAACCACAUGACCGAUCUCAUUGGUAUCUCUCCAAUGCUGAGGUGCAGUUGAGGUCUGGGAGGAUGCCAAUAUGGCAAAAAUCGAAGAUAUACUUCUAUACAAUGAGUCAUGGUGGAUAUGAAGAGCAGAACUUGGUGGAUGUAAAUACUGGUGGAGAAAUUGAGAUUGAGAAGAUUCCUGCUACUGAGGUUGAAAUAAGGCGCCGAGAGUUGCUGCCUGUAUUUGACCAUUUCCGCAGAAUCCAAUCUGAUUGGAGAGAUGACAGGUUUCGAUCAUCAUCAUUUGGUUCCCAUACUGGUAAAGAUAAACUAGAAGAUAGUGUAGUCUCUAAUUCUAAACAGAUCUCGCCUGCAUCAACCAAAAAGAUACCUGCAGGUUUUGCUAAAGCAUCAGCAUUUCUUCAUGGCUUGGAUCACAUGGGUGCAUCAGAUUCUGGUUCUGAUGGCUCAACUGUGGAUGAGAAUGAUGGUGUAAGGAGAUCAGGUUCUGUUUCUUUGAACCGUAGGUCUUCAAGUUCCCCUGAAUCAUCUGCUAAAACCAUGAAUUCUCUUGAAGAAAGUUACAUUGUAAAUAGACCAUCAUCUCCCAAGAACGGGCCUCUUUCUACUGAAGGAAGCACUAUAAGGGGGUUUGUUCAGUCUCCAAACAGCACCAUCACUGGUGAGCUUUCAAACACAAGCUCUAAUCGGUCAGAUGCGAGUAUGAAGAUUAUUGAUGAGGGGCCAGUGCAUGAAGAUAUGCAUGACCCUGUAGAUUUUGGACAGUACUUCCAGGAGGGUUACUGUAAAGCAUCAGCCACUAAUGUUUCACAUGAGUUGAGUGAAGGAGUUACUGAUAUUGAUAGCAGUAAUAGUCCUUGUGACAGAGAGAAAACUGAGGAAGAUGUGGAAAGUGAUGGUAUGCUUGGAGGUGUAUUUGCCUUUUCUGAAGAAGGUUGAUGCAUGACCUGAUGAUGCCAGCCUUGUGCCACCGCCCAAUGUUGAGCAGAAGGUUGGCAGACGAAAGAAUGAUGUUCUUCCAGUACAGCUCCCCAGAAAUGCUUACUAACAUAUUGAUGUGAAUGUAUGACUUAUUCUUGGCGUCCCCUUGUGUUGGCAGAGUGAAAGUGCCUGGUUGGGAGUUCUUGUGUAUAUAUGUUGUAUAUUAAGUUCAUGAUGCAAAUGAUGUCUGAACAUUCUCUUUUUCUUCCCCCGGUGUAACAAUAUUUGUUCUUUCAAAGAAAAGAAAAUAAAAGAAGUAUCCACAAAAAGAAAAACCAAAGACAGAAAAGAAAUGCAGGUUGAAGGGUCUUUAUCUUCCACAAGUUCUUCUUAUAGAAGAUUGGUGAUCUUGGGAAAGUGAAGUGAAACAAACAAACAUGGCGGAAUAGAUAGUUUUUGGUACGCACAAUAAUGCUUUCGUUGACAGAAAACUCCACUGUUUAUGUAUGUUUCCCUAAGUUUACAGAAUUUCUCCUUAUAACCAUGCUAUACAUCUUUCUACAAGAAAUUCUUAGGAGAUCAUGUUGAGGUCUGAUGGAA
Coffea arabica (coffee) is the source of this 3913-nucleotide non-coding RNA. The record is from RefSeq and is a predicted model, not a curated record. Lineage: Eukaryota; Viridiplantae; Streptophyta; Magnoliopsida; Gentianales; Rubiaceae.